AGUGAACGCUGGCGGUAGGCCUAACACACGCAAGUCGAACGGCAGCACAGUAAGAGCUUGCUCUUACGGGUGGCGAGUGGCGGACGGGUGAGGAAUACAUCGGAAUCUACUUUUUCGUGGGGGAUAACGUAGGGAAACUUACGCUAAUACCGCAUACGACCUACGGGUGAAAGCAGGGGAUCUUCGGACCUUGCGCGAUUGAAUGAGCCGAUGUCGGAUUAGCUAGUUGGCGGGGUAAAGGCCCACUAAGGCGACGAUCCGUAGCUGGUCUGAGAGGAUGAUCAGCCACACUGGAACUGAGACACGGUCCAGACUCCUACGGGAGGCAGCAGUGGGGAAUAUUGGACAAUGGGCGCAAGCCUGAUCCAGCCAUACCGCGUGGGUGAAGAAGGCCUUCGGGUUGUAAAGCCCUUUUGUUGGGAAAGAAAAGCAGCAGGUUAAUACCCCGCUGUUCUGACGGUACCCAAAGAAUAAGCACCGGCUAACUUCGUG
This 492-nucleotide ribosomal RNA is filed under the name uncultured bacterium. RNAcentral describes it as "partial 16S ribosomal RNA". It matches the Rfam family "Bacterial small subunit ribosomal RNA", at positions 29 to 507 of the family's 1533-position model. The record is from RNAcentral.